Molecule: ribosomal RNA, 311 nt
Filed under: uncultured bacterium
Lineage: Bacteria
Description: bacterial SSU rRNA
Rfam family: Bacterial small subunit ribosomal RNA
Source: RNAcentral
GAUGAACGCUAGCGGCAGGCUUAACACAUGCAAGUCGAGGGGUAACAGGUCUAGCUUGCUAGAUGCUGGCGACCGGCGCACGGGUGCGUAACGCGUAUACAAUCUACCUUGUACAGGGGAAUAGCCCAGAGAAAUUUGGAUUAAUGCCCCAUAGUAUUAUUGAAUGGCAUCGUUUAAUAAUUAAAACUCCGGUGGUACAAGAUGAGUAUGCGUUCUAUUAGCUAGAUGGUAAGGUAACGGCUUACCAUGGCAACGAUAGAUAGGGGUCCUGAGAGGAAGAUCCCCCACACUGGUACUGAGACACGGACCAG